AAGGUGAGCUCUGAACAUUUGAUCUGGAACAGGAAUUCAAUAAUGGCAGCAUGAGCUUCAUUUCAGUCUGUAGCUGCUGAAUUCAUGGAUGAAUCAUCUGGCACUAGAGAGGAAGACCAUCAAACAUCCAUGUCAGCUGAUGGAGGUCCAAGAGUCUCACCAAACAAACAACCUACAGAGUGAAGACCUCCAAUCUGAUUGGACGGCCUCCUAUUCAGCCACAUGCUACAGGAGGAGCCCUACGAGGACGAGCCGGUCCACCUGAUGGCGGCCAGUCGCUGCGGUUCAAAGCCAACACCGACUACGUGGACUUCUACUGGACCACACGGAGGCCUUCAAACCGGACCAACAAGUUCAGCGACUCCCCGACUCGUGGGUCUGAGGACGCCGCCGAGCCUCGGUCCAGCCGGCCUCCUGUCUGUGGGUGUUUGAGUGCUGAGAGACCUGACCGUGAACACCGUUGACACCUACCUGAGGGAGACGCUGUCUAAGAUCUCAAGGCUGCUUGGUCGUGGUCUUUCUGGCCCUGCUCCAGAACGCCUUCAUCAACUACGUCUUCUUUUGAAGAGGCCCUCAGAUGCUGCAAUCUCUGACCUUAAGGAGGAACUGCUACUUUCACUCUGUAACGAGACCGCAGUUAUUUUAAAGACCCAGCUCCUGGCGGCUUUGAGUGAAAGUUUAACACCCAUCAGAACGGAACUACAGACAGUUAAAUCUGAGCUG
This is a long non-coding RNA of Amphiprion ocellaris (clown anemonefish), 723 nucleotides long. NCBI's taxonomy places the organism in Eukaryota, Metazoa, Chordata, Actinopteri, Pomacentridae. The record is from Ensembl.